AUACGGAAGGUCCGGGCGUUAUCCGGAUUUAUUGGGUUUAAAGGGAGCGCAGGCGGAGAUGCAAGCGUGACGUCAAAUUUCGGGGCUCAACCCCGUCUCGCGUCGCGAACUGCGUCCCUUGGUUGCGGGAAGGGGAGGCGGAACUCGUGGUGUAGCGGUGAAAUGCAUAGAUAUCACGAAGAACUCCGAUCGCGAAGGCAGCCUUCCGGCCCGUCAACGACGCUCAUGCUCGAAGGUGCGGGUAUCAAGCAGGAUUAGAUACCCUGGUAGUCCGCACAGUAAACGAUGGACACCCGCGGUUUGGCCUGUAUGGCUGAGCCGCCAAGCGAAAGCGUUAAGUGUCCCACCUGGGGAGUACGCCGGCAACGGUGAAACUCAAAGGAA
This 384-nucleotide ribosomal RNA is filed under the name uncultured bacterium. Its description in RNAcentral is "partial 16S ribosomal RNA". It matches the Rfam family "Bacterial small subunit ribosomal RNA", at positions 523 to 909 of the family's 1533-position model. The record is from RNAcentral.